GACGAACCGAGCGAACGUUGUUCGGAAUCACUGGGCUUAAAGGGCGCGUAGGCGGGUGCUCAAGUCCGUGGUGAAAUCCUCCGGCUCAACCGGAGAACUGCCUCGGAUACUGGGUGUCUCGAGGGUGGUAGGGGUAUGCGGAACUAUCGGUGGAGCGGUGAAAUGCGUUGAUAUCGAUAGGAACUCCGGUGGCGAAGGCGGCAUACUGGACCACCUCUGACGCUGAGGCGCGAAAGCCAGGGGAGCAAACGGG
RNAcentral lists this ribosomal RNA (253 nucleotides) under uncultured bacterium. RNAcentral's name for it is "partial 16S ribosomal RNA". It matches the Rfam family "Bacterial small subunit ribosomal RNA", at positions 524 to 776 of the family's 1533-position model. The record is from RNAcentral.